Molecule: long non-coding RNA, 1063 nt
Filed under: Polistes fuscatus (common paper wasp)
Lineage: Eukaryota; Metazoa; Arthropoda; Insecta; Hymenoptera; Vespidae
Description: uncharacterized LOC122524400, transcript variant X1
Source: RNAcentral
UCACCACCGACACACAUCGACGUGCUCGCUGUGAAGAGAAAGGGAGACACCCGGAGAGUGAGAGAGAGGGGAUGGUAUAGGGCGCUGCCGAGGAGAAUCCAACGUAGUUGACGUUGACUCUCCUCCUUUCAUGGUAUUGCUCUUGCUCCUGGUGUAUUGCUGCUAUACUCGAUAGAGUAGUGGUAGUAGAGUUAAGGUGGUGGUAGUAAAGCUAGUGGUGGUGGAAAUGGUGGUGGUGGCAUGGAUUGCUUCCAGUGUUCGCGCGGCCGCUCCCUGUCGCACACGGACUACUCACCCCGACGCUACAGGCGUCGCGACGCUCAAACUAUCGGCGACGAAAACGUGCUCGAUCGUUAAGAGAAAAUAAUACAGUGUUAACUUUAUCGACGUUGUCGGAUAUUGUUUUCGGUUGAACGUAAAAUUGUCUUCGUCUUUUCUGGUUGUUUCAAUCGGAUAAAAUAUCGUGUCAACUUUGUGAAGUUUUAGAUUUCAAAGGUUCUCGCUCUGUAAGGAAUCUUGUCAUAUCAAACAGCGAAAGUAGACAUAUCAAAGGAAAUGGGAUCAAGUGAGGAAGAAAGAGAAAGAUUAAGAUAGAACAUUUUCCUUUUUUCUUUAUCUUUUUUGGAUUGAAGUACAUAUCGCAAAACGCAUAAAAGAAACUUGACCGAUGACGAGCGACUAAAACCAACAAGUGUCUUAAAUCAACAAGUCCGAACUACCAAGGUCGUCGUCGUCGUCGUCGUCGUCGUCGUCAUAGUCAUAGUCAUAGUCAUAGUCAUAGUCAUAGUCAUAGAGAGAACGGAAAUUUACGGACAAGUUUUUCUCUUCUCAUGAUCGAAAGUUUUUUAUUAUUAUUUCUGUAUGAAGUAAAGAUCGAGAUCUGAAGAAAUAAUAAAAAUACAAAUAUAUAAAAGAGAAGAAGAAAUUCAAGGGAAAGGAUUUCUGUUUUAUUUCUCUUACGAUCGGUGUAUAUAUCAAUAAAUCUAUGAGAGAAACGUGCUCUACGGUUUACGAUAAAACGAGUAACGAAAGUCGAUUGUUUUUCGAAGAAGAAGAAGAAGAA